RNAcentral lists this ribosomal RNA (460 nucleotides) under uncultured bacterium. RNAcentral's name for it is "partial 16S ribosomal RNA". It matches the Rfam family "Bacterial small subunit ribosomal RNA", at positions 338 to 795 of the family's 1533-position model. The record is from RNAcentral.
CCUACGGGUGGCAGCAGUGAGGAAUAUUGGUCAAUGGGCGUACGCCUGAACCAGCCAAGUCGCGUGAGGGAUGAAGGUUCUAUGGAUCGUAAACCUCUUUUAUAAGGGAAUAAAGGGCGGGACGUGUCCCGUUUUGUAUGUAACUUAUGCAUAAGGCUCGGCUAACUCCGUGCCAGCAGCCGCGGUAAUAAGGAGGAUCCGAGCGUUUUCCGGGUUUAUUGGGUUUAAAGGGUGCGUAGGCGGCCUUGUAAGUCAGCGGGGAAAGUCGGUGGCUUAAACCUAGAAGUGCCGUUGAAACUGGGAGUCUUGAGUAUGUGUGAGGCAGGCGGAAUGCGUGGUGUAGCGGUGAAAUGCUUAGAUAUCACGCAGAACCCCGAUUGCGAAGGCAGCCUGCCAAGCCAUGACUGACGCUGAUGCACGAAAGCGUGGGGAUCAAACAGGAUUAGAUACCCUUGUAGUC